AGUGAACGCUGGCGGCAGGCCUAACACAUGCAAGUCGAACGGCAGCACAGUAAGAGCUUGCUCUUACGGGUGGCGAGUGGCGGACGGGUGAGGAAUACAUCGGAAUCUACUUUUUCGUGGGGGAUAACGUAGGGAAAAUUACGCCAAUACCGCAUACGACCUACGGGUGAAAGCAGGGGAUCUUCGGACCUUGCGCGAUUGAAUGAGCCGAUGUCGGAUUAGCUAGUUGGCGGGGUAAAGGCCCACCAAGGCGACGAUCCGUAGCUGGUCUGAGAGGAUGAUCAGCCACACUGGAACUGAGACACGGUCCAGACUCCUACGGGAGGCAGCAGUGGGGAAUAUUGGACAAUGGGCGCAAGCCUGAUCCAGCCAUACCGCGUGUGUGAAGAAGGCCUUCGGGUUGUAAAGCCCUUUUGUUGGGAAAGAAAAGCAGCAGGUUAAUACCCCGCUGUUCUGACGGUACCCAAAGAAUAAGCACCGGCUAACUUCGUG
Molecule: ribosomal RNA, 492 nt
Filed under: uncultured bacterium
Lineage: Bacteria
Description: partial 16S ribosomal RNA
Rfam family: Bacterial small subunit ribosomal RNA
Source: RNAcentral